Molecule: long non-coding RNA, 457 nt
Filed under: Homo sapiens (human)
Lineage: Eukaryota; Metazoa; Chordata; Mammalia; Primates; Hominidae
Description: HSALNT0024924
Source: RNAcentral
ACUGAAUGGCAUGCUGGAGGGGAAGCCCUAGGGCGGCAGGGACUAGAAGUUUGGGGAAGGAGUGAGGAGGAAGAGCGAGUGACAGAAGACAAAGGUUUUAAGGAUCUUCCUGGAAGAAGGUAGCUAGCAGGUAAGGUUUUGAAGCAGUGAAGGACCUGAAAAUCUUUGAAGUUGAGAGAAAGAAGUCAGGAUAGGAGGGAAAAGGUUAAAUAACAGCAGGGUGAGUGGGGGCUGCUGAACUGAAGGGAUCUAAUUAAGACGAAAAGUAAGGGCUUAUUCCUGAACAGGAGGGAAGGCAUCUCCUCUGGGAAUCCAGAGAAGGCAGAGAAGGUAGAGGAAGGCUGUAAUUUUGAGCACUGGGGCAGGACCAGGAGUGACUUGGCUUCUUAUCACACUUUUCUAAAAGUUUAAUAUUAUUUCCAAAUUAAAAUUUUUUUAAUUAUGAAGCAUUCAGAGG